AGUUGAAUAACUGGGUCAAAUGAUGGUUCUAUUCCAAGUUUUCUAAGGAAUCUCCACACUGCUUUCCAGAGUGGUUGCAGCAAUUUGUAGUCCCAUGAGCAAU
Molecule: microRNA precursor, 103 nt
Filed under: Marmota monax (woodchuck)
Lineage: Eukaryota; Metazoa; Chordata; Mammalia; Rodentia; Sciuridae
Source: RNAcentral